This 358-nucleotide transfer-messenger RNA is filed under the name Rickettsiales bacterium. It matches the Rfam family "Alphaproteobacteria transfer-messenger RNA". From Rfam's summary of the family: Bacterial tmRNA, also known as 10Sa RNA or SsrA, is named for its dual tRNA and mRNA-like properties. The record is from RNAcentral. Lineage: Bacteria; Pseudomonadati; Pseudomonadota; Alphaproteobacteria; Rickettsiales.
AAAUUUGCAAAAUUAAAAAAAUAAUGCUAUAGUUGCUUUGUCUUCUGACUAUGAUAAUAAGAGCUGUACGUAAUAGGUGCAAUGGACUCGGGGGCGGUACCCGACACCUCCACCGCUGACAAUCUGUCGAGGGGGUGAACUAGCUUUGACAUUCUCUGAAAGGUAUAAGUUUUAUCCAGCGAGACUCGGCUGCCACGGAAGUGGGAAUAGUUCAAAAACUUAAAUGCAAAGAAAAACUUUGCUAAUGUUGCAAUGGCUGCUUAGUCUUCGGACUAUAUUUCAUUAGAAAUAUUUUCACUUAGUUGUGAUGAGCCUUUGUGACGGGGCCCGGGGGAGCCUGUCAACAGAAUCUCCCACC